Molecule: ribosomal RNA, 253 nt
Filed under: uncultured bacterium
Lineage: Bacteria
Description: partial 16S ribosomal RNA
Rfam family: Bacterial small subunit ribosomal RNA
Source: RNAcentral
UACGUAGGGCGCGAGCGUUGUCCGGAAUUAUUGGGCGUAAAGAGCUCGUAGGCGGCUUGUCACGUCGGGUGUGAAAGACCGGGGCUUAACUCCGGUUCUGCAUUCGAUACGGGCUAGCUAGAGUUCGGUAGGGGAGAUCGGAAUUCCUGGUGUAGCGGUGAAAUGCGCAGAUAUCAGGAGGAACACCGGUGGCGAAGGCGGAUCUCUGGGCCGAUACUGACGCUGAGGAGCGAAAGCGUGGGGAGCAAACAGG